AGUGAGCGCUGGCGGUAGGCCUAACACAUGCCAGUCGAACGGCAGCACAGUAAGAGCUUGCUCUUACGGGUGGCGAGUGGCGGACGGGUGAGGAAUACAUCGGAAUCUACUUUUUCGUGGGGGAUAACGUAGGGAAACUUACGCUAAUACCGCAUACGACCUACGGGUGAAAGCAGGGGAUCUUCGGACCUUGCGCGAUUGAAUGAGCCGAUGUCGGAUUAGCUAGUUGGCGGGGUAAAGGCCCACCAAGGCGACGAUCCGUAGCUGGUCUGAGAGGAUGAUCAGCCCCACUGGACCUGAGACACCGUCCAGACUCCUACGGGAGGCAGCAGUGGGGAAUAUUGGACAAUGGGCGCAAGCCUGAUCCAGCCAUACCGCGUGGGUGAAGAAGGCCUUCGGGUUGUAAAGCCCUUUUGUUGGGAAAGAAAAGCAGCAGGUUAAUACCCCGCUGUUCUGACGGUACCCAAAGAAUAAGCACCGGCUAACUUCGUG
This 492-nucleotide ribosomal RNA is filed under the name uncultured bacterium. Its description in RNAcentral is "partial 16S ribosomal RNA". It matches the Rfam family "Bacterial small subunit ribosomal RNA", at positions 29 to 507 of the family's 1533-position model. The record is from RNAcentral.